CGAAUAGUAGCCCUGAGCCUCCCACGGAGCUCUGAACCCUGAGCCUCUGUCUAUGGCAUACAAAAAUGAAGGCAGCCGGUUCCAAGUAGUGCGCCCUUUGAUCAGCUCCCAAGGGUGCGACCCGCCUUCAGGGUAAAGGGAAAGCCUGGAGGUCAGGAAGCAGGCUUCUGAGGACUUCUGGGGAAGGUACUCAUCUACCACCGUUUUGACAGCUCUCUGGAUGUAACUCUUCAUCAAACAUCCCACAAGCCAUUCCACAUAGUCACCAACAUCCCAGAGACAGACCUGGACCGACUAUAGAUUUGAGAGCCAAGUGCUUUACUGACAAGUCACUUCUGCGACCCAACAAUAGGCUUCUGACCACCCUAACUCAGCAUCUUAGUGCUGGAAUUACUGAGAGCACCGCCAUACCUGGCUUCUGCAUAGAAGAGUCCCAGCCUUGCCAGGAGGCGGAAGUGACUGAGCUGCUAGAUCCUUCAAAGUGGAGACAUCCAGAAGACAGACAACUUGGCCAGAGGGAAAUGAAGGUGUGAAGAGAAGCCGAGGAGAUUGGAAUCUAGUGCUGAAUUUGCAUCCGAUGCCGAGCCUAGGAGGUCAGAGAAGACCUAGGGCACAAAAGAGGAAGUAGCAAAGGGGAGGGUCUUCCUUCUGAUCCCCUCUAUUAGGUGGAGGACCUCGGAGGAGAGACCUCCGCCUUCUGCUCUGUAGCGCUGCACUUGAGUACCAUAAGGCGAACCCUACCGUGCAGAUCUGGAAACGGCUGAAACCGCCCGAUGAGCGGGCAUUGCAGGGCAAAGAUUGUGGGGGACUUCUUCCAUAUCUCGGAGGCGUUCUCUAGCCAGUCUACAUCUCCAGCGAGGAUACUUUAUUUUAGCAAGUGGGUGUUAAGCCAGACAUAACCACUAGGGGACAGUAAAAACAACCCUUAAGGUCAGUAUUCCUCCAAGACCCCACCUACUCUCACCUGAGGCCAAGAUGGGCAGUGCCUCACCUGGCUUUCACCUAGCUCUCUGUUAACCACUUCCUGCCUA
Molecule: long non-coding RNA, 1031 nt
Filed under: Mus spicilegus (steppe mouse)
Lineage: Eukaryota; Metazoa; Chordata; Mammalia; Rodentia; Muridae
Description: lncRNA (ENSMSIG00000007548.1)
Source: RNAcentral